Molecule: ribosomal RNA, 497 nt
Filed under: uncultured bacterium
Lineage: Bacteria
Description: partial 16S ribosomal RNA
Rfam family: Bacterial small subunit ribosomal RNA
Source: RNAcentral
GAUGAACGCUGGCGGCGUGCCUAAUACAUGCAAGUCGAGCGAACAGACGAGGAGCUUGCUCCUCUGACGUUAGCGGCGGACGGGUGAGUAACACGUGGAUAACCUACCUAUAAGACUGGGAUAACUUCGGGACACCGGAGCUAAUACCGGAUAAUAUAUUGAACCGCAUGGUUCAAUAGUGAAAGACGGUUUUGCUGUCACUUAUAGAUGGAUCCGCGCCGCAUUAGCUAGUUGGUAAGGUAACGGCUUACCAAGGCAACGAUGCGUAGCCGACCUGAGAGAGUGAUCGGCCACACUGGAACUGAGACACGGUCCAGACUCCUACGGGAGGCAGCAGUAGGGAAUCUUCCGCAAUGGGCGAAAGCCUGACGGAGCAACGCCGCGUGAGUGAUGAAGGUCUUCGGAGCGUAAAACUCUGUUAUUAGGGAAGAACAAAUGUGUAAGUUACUAUGCACGUCUUGACGGUACCUAAUCAGAAAGCCACGGCUAACUACGUG